This 2266-nucleotide ribosomal RNA is filed under the name Gammaproteobacteria bacterium. Its description in RNAcentral is "partial 23S ribosomal RNA". It matches the Rfam family "Bacterial large subunit ribosomal RNA", at positions 1821 to 2925 of the family's 2925-position model. The record is from RNAcentral. Lineage: Bacteria; Pseudomonadati; Pseudomonadota; Gammaproteobacteria.
CUCUGCAAACUCGCAAGAGGACGUAUAGGGUGUGACGCCUGCCCGGUGCCGGAAGAUUAAGUGAUCAGGUUAGCCUUCGGGCGAAGCUUGUGACCGAAGUCCUGGUAAACGGCGGCCGUAACUAUGAGCUAAACUCUGACCAUUGUAGUUACGUAAAUAAACUUGGCUAUAUGCUGGAAUAUCCGGUGUAUCUGGUGGUACUCGUUUGACAUCUCAUUUGACAAUGACGUUCAAACAGUGACAAUCCAUCCAGUGCGGACAAUCAGCAGGAAAGGUUCCUGUCAUGGCUUCGAAAGAUCAACACAAGAUUCCUGACCGAAUCGGUUAUUACCUCGCGGGGUUUGCCGACGGUGAAGGAAGCUUCAGCCUCUCUUUUCGUAAGCGCAAAGAUUAUUCACAGCCGUGGAAAAUCUCCCUGUGUUUCAACGUCUCCCAGCGUGACAAAGUCAUUUUGGCUUUGUUCAAGAGGCAUUUGAAGUGCGGAACGCUGCGCUCCAGAAAAGACGGUGUUUGGUAUUACGAAGUCAACAAUCAUCGAGCGAUUUGCGAGAAUGUGAUCCCAUUCUUUAAUCAGUUCGGAUUCUUGUCGGCUAAGAAAAAGCGCGAUUUUGCGAAAUUCAAGCAGGUCGCGGCGCUUAUUAGCGAGGGAGCACAUCUGACUGAAGACGGAAUUAGACGGAUUCUUGAGAUUCGCAGUGACAUGAACGAUGGCGGUGCGCGAAGACGUAAGUACUCGGACACCGAAAUCGUCCAAGUAUUGCUUCAAAGCAAUGUGACGGGAAAAUCCUCAGAGACUACACGCCAAGCCGCUUCAUUGAACUCAUGCAAGUGAUGCAAUGGCGCGGAUGAUAUAGUCCGAACUCUGUGGCGACAUAGAGAGCCAGACGGAAACGAUCUGGCCGGUUCGACAACUUUUCGAACUAGUAACAAACUUGAACGGUCCUAAGGUAAAGGUUUAUUCGUUGCCUUAGUAAAAUCUGGCUAUAUGCUGGGAACUCCGAGUAUCCGUCGGUACUUGCUUCUGCAAGUGACAAUCCGGCGGUGCGGACAAUCAGCAGGAAAGACCGGCAAAUCAAUGCUUUGCGAACUUAUGCAUAGCAGAGACUUGACGGAAUCCUCAGAGACUACACGCCAGACCGCAAAUCUCGUGAAGAUGAGCGGAAGAUAUAGUCCGAACUAUGUGGCGACACGUAGAGCAGUCCACGAAAGUGGCUGCCGCCUCAAUUUUUCGCCAGUAAUGGCGAUGAUGCUUUGAGGUCUGGUCGCAUGCUCAUGCGACCCAAGUAACAGCACGAGCGAAAUUCCUUGUCGGGUAAGUUCCGACCUGCACGAAUGGCGUAACGAUGGCCACACUGUCUCCACCCGAGACUCAGUGAAAUUGAAUUCGCGGUCAAGAUGCCGUGUACCCGCGGCUAGACGAGAAGACCCCGUGAACCUUUACUACAGCUUCACACUGAACUUUGAUCUAUCUUGUGUAGGAUAGGUGGGAGGCUUUGAAGCCUGGGCGCCAGCCCGGGUGGAGCCAUCCUUGAAAUACCACCCUGGUUAGGUUGGAGUUCUAACUCAGGCCCGUUAUCCGGGUCGAGGACCGUGUGUGGUGGGUAGUUUGACUGGGGCGGUCUCCUCCUAAAGAGUAACGGAGGAGCGCGAUGGUGCGCUCAGCAUGGUCGGAAAUCAUGCAAUGCGUGUAAAGGCAAAAGCGCGCCUGACUGCGAGACCGACGGGUCGAGCAGGGUCGAAAGACGGUCUUAGUGAUCCGGUGGUUCUGUAUGGAAGGGCCAUCGCUCAACGGAUAAAAGGUACUCCGGGGAUAACAGGCUGAUACCGCCCAAGAGUUCACAUCGACGGCGGUGUUUGGCACCUCGAUGUCGGCUCAUCACAUCCUGGGGCUGUAGCCGGUCCCAAGGGUAUGGCUGUUCGCCAUUUAAAGUGGUACGCGAGCUGGGUUUAGAACGUCGUGAGACAGUUCGGUCCCUAUCUGCCGUGGGCGUUGGAGAAUUGAGAGGAGCUGCUCCUAGUACGAGAGGACCGGAGUGGACGUACCUCUGGUGUUCCGGUUGUCACGCCAGUGGCACCGCCGGGUAGCUAUGUUCGGACGGGAUAACCGCUGAAAGCAUCUAAGCGGGAAGCCCCCCUCAAGAUGAGAUCUCACCGAAUCUUCGGAUUCAUGAAGGGCCCUUGUAGACGACAAGGUUGAUAGGCGGGAUGUGUAAGCGCCGCGAGGCGUUCAGCUAACCCGUACUAAUUGCCCGUUUGGCUUGGCCAU